GAUUGUAAGAGCCACAGGUUGAGACAUCAUGCCCAGAGGCAUUCUCAGCUGAUCUGGCUGGCUAGGUGAGUGUCCCCUUCCUCCCUCACCACUCCAUGUGCAUCCCUCCCAAAGCUGUGUGUUUGGGAAGAGGACAACCUUCCCCAAGCAGAGGAGGACUGGCCUUUGGUCAAGGGGAGAUGAGUAGCAGCGCUGCCUUGAUAGAACCUCCAAACACGCUCUCAAGAGUGGUGUGACACAAGCUAGUGGUUCCAGAAAGUUCUCUGAGGAGAACUACCAGAGGUCAUGGU
Molecule: small nuclear RNA, 290 nt
Filed under: Jaculus jaculus (lesser Egyptian jerboa)
Lineage: Eukaryota; Metazoa; Chordata; Mammalia; Rodentia; Dipodidae
Description: 7SK RNA (ENSJJAG00000003388.1)
Rfam family: 7SK RNA
About the family: 7SK was discovered as an abundant small nuclear RNA in the mid-70s but a possible function has only recently been suggested. Two independent studies have found that 7SK RNA binds the CDK9/cyclin T complex (known as elongation factor P-TEFb).
Source: Rfam by way of RNAcentral